GACGAACGCUGGCGGCGUGCUUAACACAUGCAAGUCGAACGGAAAGGCCCUGCGUUUGUGGGGUGCUCGAGUGGCGAACGGGUGAGUAACACGUGAGUAACCUGCCCUUGACUUUGGGAGAACUUCAGGAAACUGGGGCUAAUACAGGAUAGGAGCUCCUGCUGCAUGGUGGGGGUGGGAAAGUUUCGGCGGGUGGGGAUGGACUCGCGGCUGACCAGCUUGUUGGUGGGGUAGUGGCUGACCAAGGCAUUGACGGGUAGCCGGCCUGAGAGGGUGACCGGCCACCUUGGGCCUGCGAUACGGCCCAGACUCCUACGGGAGGCAGCAGUGGGGAAUAUUGCACAAUGGGCGGGCGCCUGAUGCAGCAACGCCGCGUGCGGGAUGACGGCCUUCGGGUUGUAAACCGCUUUCGCCUGUGACGAAGCGUGAGUGACGGUACUGGGUGAAGAAGCACCGGCUAACUACGUG
RNAcentral lists this ribosomal RNA (468 nucleotides) under uncultured bacterium. RNAcentral describes it as "partial 16S ribosomal RNA". It matches the Rfam family "Bacterial small subunit ribosomal RNA", at positions 28 to 507 of the family's 1533-position model. The record is from RNAcentral.